This 305-nucleotide ribosomal RNA is filed under the name uncultured bacterium. Its description in RNAcentral is "bacterial SSU rRNA". It matches the Rfam family "Bacterial small subunit ribosomal RNA", at positions 331 to 636 of the family's 1533-position model. The record is from RNAcentral.
UCGGGCCUACGGGAGGCAGCAGUGAGGAAUAUUGGUCAAUGGGCGAGAGCCUGAACCAGCCAAGUCGCGUGAAGGAUGAAGGAUCUAUGGUUUGUAAACUUCUUUUAUAUGGGAAUAAAGUGAGGAACGUGUUCCUUUUUGUAUGUACCAUAUGAAUAAGCAUCGGCUAACUCCGUGCCAGCAGCCGCGGUAAUACGGAGGAUGCGAGCGUUAUCCGGAUUUAUUGGGUUUAAAGGGUGCGUAGGCGGUAUUUUAAGUUAGUGGUAAAACGUCGGGGCUUCACCUUGAUUGGCCAUUAAAACUGG